GUCCUUAGUGGCGCACGGGUGAGUAACACGUGGGAACAUACCUUAUAGUACGGAAUAACUGCGGGAAACUGUAGCUAAUACCGUAUAUUCCAGUAAUGGGAAAGAUUUAUCGCUAUAAGAUUGGCCCGCGCAAGAUUAGCUUGUUGGUGAGGUAAAAGCUCACCAAGGCUUCGAUCUUUAGCUGGUUUGAGAGGAUGAUCAGCCACACUGGGACUGAGACACGGCCCAGACUCCUACGGGAGGCAGCAGUAGGGAAUAUUGGACAAUGGGGGCAACCCUGAUCCAGCAAUGCAGCGUGAGUGACGAAGGCCUUAGGGUUGUAAAACUCUUUCAUCGGUGAGGAUAAUGACAGUAGCCGAAGAAGAAGGACCGGC
This 374-nucleotide ribosomal RNA is filed under the name uncultured Alphaproteobacteria bacterium. Its description in RNAcentral is "bacterial SSU rRNA". It matches the Rfam family "Bacterial small subunit ribosomal RNA", at positions 88 to 497 of the family's 1533-position model. The record is from RNAcentral. Lineage: Bacteria; Pseudomonadati; Pseudomonadota; Alphaproteobacteria.